UGGCUAGCGGCGGUUGAGGCGAAGGCGCUGCUUCGGGCCUCGCAGUCGGACGCCGGAGGUGCUAAGAGCAACAACCGACGGCUGCUCCACGUCGGCGACAUUGACAAAACAAGCAAGUCCUACAUUUGCACAUCGUGCUUCAUGUGGCUGGGUGCAGAGGAUAGGGUGGAGUCCGCCGUGAUGGAGAUGAAGGAUGGCUGCUACUGCGCAACGUCGAGCCCAUCUCUAUACCACGCUGCUACAUACUUCCAUGAUUCCAUCAUUGACUACAGCUCACCACCCGGUUGCCCUCUCUACUACCAAUUACAAGAGACAGAUCAACCUCUUUAUCCUUAUUGCAAGGUCUAG
RNAcentral lists this long non-coding RNA (348 nucleotides) under Oryza sativa Indica Group (long-grained rice). Its description in RNAcentral is "lncRNA OsLiXu_Ung0057810". Lineage: Eukaryota; Viridiplantae; Streptophyta; Magnoliopsida; Poales; Poaceae. The record is from RNAcentral.